RNAcentral lists this transfer RNA (65 nucleotides) under Polycheles typhlops. Its description in RNAcentral is "tRNA-Gly". Lineage: Eukaryota; Metazoa; Arthropoda; Malacostraca; Decapoda; Polychelidae. The record is from RNAcentral.
AAUUUUUUAGUAUAAUCAGUACUUUUGGUUUCCAACCAAAUCGUCUAAUCAAUUUAGAAAAAUUA